CCUACGGGAGGCAGCAGUGAGGAAUAUUGGUCAAUGGACGAGAGUCUGAACCAGCCAAGUAGCGUGAGGGAGGACUGCCCUAUGGGUUGUAAACUUCUUUUAUAAAGGAAUAAAACGAGGCACGUGUGCCUGUUUGCAUGUACUUUAUGAAUAAGGAUCGGCUAACUCCGUGCCAGCAGCCGCGGUAAUACGGAGGAUCCGAGCGUUAUCCGGAUUUAUUGGGUUUAAAGGGUGCGUAGGUGGGUUGUUAAGUCAGUUGUGAAAGUUUGCGGCUCAACCGUAAAAUUGCAAUUGAUACUGGCAGUCUUGAGUACAGUAGAGGUAAGCGGAAUUCGCGGUGUAGCGGUGAAAUGCUUAGAUAUCACGAAGAACCCCGAUUGCGAAGGCAGCUUACUAACCUGUGACUGACAUUGAUGCACGAAAGUGUGGGUAUCAAACAGGAUUAGAUACCCGGGUAGUC
RNAcentral lists this ribosomal RNA (460 nucleotides) under uncultured bacterium. RNAcentral describes it as "partial 16S ribosomal RNA". It matches the Rfam family "Bacterial small subunit ribosomal RNA", at positions 338 to 795 of the family's 1533-position model. The record is from RNAcentral.